Molecule: long non-coding RNA, 1131 nt
Filed under: Apis florea (little honeybee)
Lineage: Eukaryota; Metazoa; Arthropoda; Insecta; Hymenoptera; Apidae
Description: uncharacterized LOC105734986, transcript variant X1
Source: RNAcentral
ACAAACAUUUUAUUUUUAUUUUAAAUUUCAGAUAUUAAUAAAUAAUUGAUAACAUUUUUAUACAUAAUACGUAAUCAAUUAAAAUAAAAAGGCAAUAUUUUCAGAACAAAUGCUCGAUAAGAAAUAGAAGAAAAAUAUCAAAAAGAUAUUGCUUCUUCUUCUAUCAAUCCCCACUCCUCUAUUAAUUUAAUGUUAAUUUCAGAAAAUAUUUGUGACCGCGUGCAAUGCGGUUAAUAGAAUCAGUGUUUGCUUCGUCAUAGUAUUUUGAAUAUUUUUUAGAGCACGAUAGCUCUGAUUAAAUGUAAUUAGAAUAAUCAAACGCGAAGGUAGAAUCAGUGUUUGUUCGCCGACUAUAAUUUAUACGGACGCGUUAUUAGUUUCUUAUUUUUAUUUUUUUUAAUUUUAAAUAUUCGUUUUCGGUACAGAGUAGAAUCAGUGCUUCACUCAAGAGAAUAAGGCGAUCAUCCACCACGCGAAGAGAUGCUGAUGAUAUUUAUGAAGAUUUUUCUGGGACUUUAAAAAAUAUUUGUGAUCACGCGCAAUGUGGUUAAUAGAAUCAGUGUUUGCUUCGCCAUAGUAUUUUGAAUAUUUUUUAGAGCACAAUAGCUCUGAUUAAAUUUAAUUAGAAUAAUCAAACGCGAAGGUAGAAUCAGUGUUUGUUCGCCGACUAUAAUUUAUACGGACGCGUUAUUAGUUUCUUAUUUUUUAUUUUUUAUUUUAUUUUAAAUAUUCGUUUUCGGUACAGAGUAGAAUCAGUGCUUCACUCAAGAGAAUAAGGCGAUCAUCCACCACGCGAAGAGAUGCUGAUGAUCUUUAUGAAGAUUUUUCUGGGACUUUAAAAAAUAUUUGUAAUCACGCGCAAUGUGGUUAAUAGAAUCAGUGUUUGCUUCGUCAUAGUAUUUUGAAUAUUUUUUAGAGCACGAUAGCUCUGAUUAAAUGUAAUUAGAAUAAUCAAACGCGAAGGUAGAAUCAGUGUUUGUUCGCCGAUUAUAAUUUAUACGGACGCGUUAUUAGUUUCUUAUUUUUUAUUUUUUAUUUUAUUUUAAAUAUUCGUUUUCGGUACAGAGUAGAAUCAGUGCUCCUCUCAAGAGAAUAAGGCGAUCAUCCAUCACGCGAAGAGAUUUUAUUUUC